This is a long non-coding RNA of Hemicordylus capensis (graceful crag lizard), 722 nucleotides long. RefSeq lists it as uncharacterized. The record is from RefSeq and is a predicted model, not a curated record. Lineage: Eukaryota; Metazoa; Chordata; Lepidosauria; Squamata; Cordylidae. The transcript has 4 exons.
ACUAAAAACCGAUUCAGUGGCUGACCCGGUGGCUUCAGCCUGAGUGUCUGGAGACCCUGAGCCACUCUUCUUUUGCGAGAGGGUCUAGCUGGUGCCUGCCUACCCUAGUAGCCACAACGGAGUUAGAUGCACCGGUAAAGCUGCAAACUUCCUUUUUUCUGGCUGCAAAAUUUGGCUUGCUUUAGCACUGAUGUUUCUUCUUGUUGUUCAGCACACACAGAUGGCAACCCUACUGCACAUGGGGACAGAGAUCCUGAGCGGCUCUUUCAUUGCCCAUUAAAGGGGUGGCUCUAAAGUUUCAAACACUCGGCACUCAGGACCUGCAAAAAGCUGCACGUCAGGACCAACUAAACGUCAGGAAACCUGGGGACAGGUGUGCUUUUUUGGAAGAGGGAAUGCAGCUCACACUUCCCAGGUGCAGCGAGCUUCUGUGCUGUUUUGGAAGCCAACCAAGGGAGUGGAAGUAGGAGAUAAGCUGAGGAUUAAUUUGUGGAUCCUGGGGGACGGACGUGGUACAGCGGAGCUGAAAUUCUGUUCACCAGCUCCAUUCAAACUUAGAAGCUUGCUUGGAUAAUUUUGCAGCGGAGGUUUUUAAGCAAGUUGCCCUUCAGCUCUGCUAUUUCCCCAUUCCCCACAGCUUUGAUGAAGUGGUUCGAGAAGGCAAAGCAGCAAAGUGGAUUUCCCCAGCCUCCGAUUUUGGUCACCGAAAAGGGUGAGAACCA